GAUGAACGCUGGCGGCGUGCCUAAUACAUGCAAGUCGAGCGAACAGAUGAGGAGCUUGCUCCUCUGACGUUAGCGGCGGACGGGUGAGUAACACGUGGAUAACCUACCUAUAAGACUGGGAUAACUUCGGGAAACCGGAGCUAAUACCGGAUAAUAUAUUGAACCGCAUGGUUCAAUAGUGAAAGACGGUUUUGCUGUCACUUAUAGAUGGAUCCGCGCCGCAUUAGCUAGUUGGUAAGGUAACGGCUUACCAAGGCAACGAUGCGUAGCCGACCUGAGAGGGUGAUCGGCCACACGGGAGCUGAGACACGGUCCAGACUCCUACGGGAGGCAGCAGUAGGGAAUCUUCCGCAAUGGGCGAAAGCCUGACGGAGCAACGCCGCGUGAGUGAUGAAGGUCUUCGGAUCGUAAAACUCUGUUAUUAGGGAAGAACAAAUGUGUAAGUAACUAUGCACGUCUUGACGGUACCUGAUCAGAAAGCCACGGCUAACUACGUG
This 497-nucleotide ribosomal RNA is filed under the name uncultured bacterium. RNAcentral describes it as "partial 16S ribosomal RNA". It matches the Rfam family "Bacterial small subunit ribosomal RNA", at positions 28 to 507 of the family's 1533-position model. The record is from RNAcentral.